Molecule: long non-coding RNA, 4182 nt
Filed under: Sus scrofa (pig)
Lineage: Eukaryota; Metazoa; Chordata; Mammalia; Artiodactyla; Suidae
Description: lncRNA (ENSSSCG00035018795.1)
Source: RNAcentral
AGGUCAAGCAGAAGAGCAAGCUGGACAGAUGCAGCUGGCGGGGCCUCUGGGGUCGGAUGCUGAAGCUUCGGACACCACAUCCUCUCAGCACACAGAUGUGCAGAGUGAAGACAACAGGGAAACCCAAAGCUGACCUACAGUGGUCAGGGAAGAAUCCCAGGAAUGUGCCUUCCCAUUCCUGACCUACAAAUGAUGUUGAUUUUAUCGGACUCAAACUACUCUGUUGGACCCACAGGUAAGAGUCAUGUUUUAUAAUAAAAUGGUCUCAAAACAUUCUUCCUCCAUAAAAAUUACCCCCAACUUAAUAUUUCAUCACUCUUGCAGCAUUUUCUUCCUCUGACUUCUUUAACACUUAAUUGUCUGUAAUAGUCAUUCAUCCUACUAGUUUUUUUGUUUGUCUUUUUGUUUUUUAGGGCCUCACCUGCGGCAUAUGGAAGUUCCCAGGCUAGGGCUUGAAUCUGAACUGCAGCUGCCACGCUAUGCCACAGCUCACAGCAAUGCCAGAUUUUUAACGCACUGAGCAAGGCCAGGGAUAGAACUGCGUCCUCAUGGAUGCUAGUUGUGGUCAUAACCCACUGAGCCACAAUGGGAACUCCCCCUACUACUUUUCUAUAUACUACUUUACCCUAUUUUUUGACAGGAAUCUUAUAUUCUCAAAAAAAUGUGAAGUUUCUUGAGAACUUUACCUAGUGCAGUGUUUGUCAUAUUUUGUUUACAAUAUCACUAUAAUUCCAUAGGGAAUGUGGGAUGUUCUGUAGGAAAAAAAGGUAAAGAGGUAUGCUCUUUUAAACAUUUGACAAGUUGUAUAUAAUAGAAAAUCAGUUAUUACCUCCAUUUGACUUAUAAAUUCAAAAUUUUAAACUUUUUUUCUUAUGGAAACAAAUUUUUUAAUAACCAUUAACCAAAAAAAAAAUGACUUAAAAUAUUUUUCUGGCUUAAAAAUACAUAUACUUUAAUUUUUUUGCUCUUUUUUAGGGCCGCACCCGCUGUAUAUGGAGGUUCCGAGGCUAGGGGUCCAGUUGGAGCUAUAGCUGCCGUCCUAUGCCACAGCCACAGCAACAUCGGAUCCGAGUCAUGUCUGUGACCUACACUACAGUUCACGGCAAUACCAGAUGCUUAACCCACAGAGAGAGGCCAGAGAUCAAACCCGCAACCUCAUGGUUCCUAGUGGGAUCCAUUUCUGCUGCAUCACGACGGGAACUCCAAAAAAUUUUUUUAUUAAAACUACUCUUUAAGGUUAAUUCUAGAUUCAUGACAAAAUUAAAGGGAAAGUGCAGAGAUUGUCUGUAUAAACUCUGUCACCACACAUGCAUAGCCUCCCUGUUACCAACAUUCCCCCCAGAGUGGUAUAUUUUUCACAAUUGAUGAACCUACAUUGACACAUCAUUAUCACCCAAAGUACCUUGUUUACAAAAUGGUUCACUCUUGAUUUUGUACUUUCUAUGAGUUUGGCUAAAUGCAUAAUGACACAUAUUCAUCAUUAUGGCAUCAUACAGAUUAUUUUCACUAAGAUAUAGAUUUCUCACUAAAAAUCUUCUGCCUAUUUAUUAUUCCCCUCCCUCACAAGCCCCUGAAAACCACUGAUAUUUGUAUGGUCUUCAUACUUUUGCCUUUUACAGAAUGUCAUAUAUUUGGAAUCAUAUACUUUAUAGUCUUUUCUGAUUGGAUUCUUUUACUUAGUAAUGUGCAUUUAAGCCCCUCCAUGUCUUACAAUAAUAGCUCAUUUGCUUUUAGCACUGAAAAAUACUCCAUUGUAUAGAUGUAGCAUAAUUUACUUAUGAAGGAUAUCAGUGUUUUCCAAGUUUUGACAAUGAUGAAUAAAAGCUAUUCUAACCAUGCCUAUGCAGGCUUAUGUAUAGACAAUACCAAGGAAUGAGAUUGCUGGAUUGUAUGGUAAGAGUAUGUUUUGUUUUGUAAGAAAUUGCCAAAUUGUUCUUCCAAAGUGGCUGCACCAUUUUGCAUUCCCACCAGUUAUGAAUGAGAGUUCCUGUUGUUUCACAUCCUCUCCAGCAUUUGAUACUGUCAAUGUUCCAGAUUUUGGCCAUUCUAAUAGGACUAUUGGUAUUUUGCCAUUAUUUAUUUUACAUUUUCCUAAUGGUAUUUGACUUGGAGCAUCUUUUCACAUACCUAUUUGGCAUUUGAAUAUAUUCUUUGGUGAGGUGUCAAGUAAGGCCUUUGGCUCACUUUUUAAUUGAGUUGGUUUUUCCCUUAUCAUUGAGUUUCAAGAGUUAUCUGCAUAUUUUGGAAAAUAGUUCUUUAUCAGAUAUGUAUUUUGCAAAUGUUUUCAGUCUGUGAGUUGUUUUCUCAUUCUCUUGACAUUGAUUUUUGCAGAGCAAAAAAAUGUUUAAUUUUAAUGAAGUCAUGCUUUAUUCUUGCAUGGAUCAUGCUUUUGAUAUUGUAUCUACAAAGGCAUUGACAUACCCAAGGUAAUCUAGGUUUUCUCCAGUGUUAUGUUCUAGGAGUUUUAUGGUGUUGUGUUUUACAUUAAAGUCUGUGUUCCUUUUCGAAUUAUUUUUUUGUGACAAGGUCUGUGUUUUGAUUCCUAGUUUUGCAUGUAGAUAUUUAGUUGUUUCAACACCAGUUCUUGAAAACACCGUCUUUGCUCCAUUUUAUUACUUUGUGCCUUUAUCAAAGAUCGCCUGAAUAUAUUUGUAUAGGUUGACUUCAGGGCUCUCUAUUCCAUUCCACUGGUCUAUUUGUCUAUUAUUUUACCACACUGACUUGGGUACUGUAGCUUAACAGUAAGUUUUGAAGUCUAGUAGAGUCAGUUGUCCAACUUUAUUUUUCUCCUUCAAUAUAUUUCUUGCUCUUCUCUGUCUUUUGCCUCUCCACAUAAACUUUAGAAUUAGUUUGUCAACAUCCACAUGAUAACUUGGUACAGCUUUGAUUGUAAUUGCUUUGAAUCUAUAGAUCAAGUGGAAGACCUGACAUAUUGACAGCAUUGACUCUUUCUAUCUAUGAACAUGGAAUAUCUCUCCAUUUAUUUAGUCCUUUGAUUUUGUUUAUUAGGAUAUUGUAGUUUUCCUCAAUGUAAAUUGUACAUAUUUUGUUGGAUUUAUAGCUAAGUGUUUCUUCUUUGGCGUGCUAGUAUAACUGUUAUUGUGUUUUUGAUUUCAUAUUCACUUGUUCAUUACUGAUAUAUAGGAAAGAGAUUGAUUUUAGUAUGUUAACCUUGUAUCCUACAACCUUGUUACAAUCUAUUACUAGUUCCAGCAGAUUGUCAAUUCUUUCAGAUUUUCUAUAUUUCUGUGAACAAAAAUAAUUUUAUUUUUUCUUUUCCAAUCUAUGUAUAUUUUAUUUCUUUUUCUUGUCUGUUUUCACUAGCUAGAAAUUCUGAUAUUAUAUUGAGAAGAAGUUGUAAGAGGGGGCAUCCUUGCCCUGUAUCUUAUCUUGUUGGAAAGCUUUGAGUCUCUCACCAUUAAAUGUGAUGUUAGCAGUAGGUUUUUAAAAAAAUAUUAUUUAUCAACUUUAACAAAUCCUCAGUGGCUUUUUCAACAAUGUGAAUGAAAAAUUCUUUGGUGUUUCUUUAAUAUGAAAUAUGAAGAAAUUGGAGCUUAAGUGAAGAAGGUUGAACAACCACAUCCAAAAAAUGUUCAUCAAUUAAUCACCAUCAGUCUGGAGAGAUGUCAUUUUGUUGGGAUAUGAAGUUUUACACUUCGUCACUUAUAUUCAGUAUUCUUGUCAAUAUGUUACCUAACCAAGGAUUGCUAUUCAAAACUGUAGGUAGUAAGGAGUUAUGAAGAAAUAUCUAUUUUGAGUAAACACGUCUGUGUUGGCUCCCAGGUGUAUUAGGUACAUUGUCAGGUAUUGUGAGGGUGCCAAAUGUGACGCAUGAUCAAUAAGCUUGAUGCUAAUGUAUUUCUCUAGGGGAUAAAAUAAUUGUAUGCAAGGCAAAACCUGUCAGGUCAUGAGAUCCUUUUUCUCGCCUCCUCAUCUGCCAUUUUUUUCUUUCUCACCACGCUAAGAAUGCUGGAUUCUGCUUCUUUCAUAUAGUGUCACUUAUAUGUGGAAUCUAAUUUUUGAAAUAAUACAAAAGAACUUGUUCGUAGGACAGAAUCAGACUCAAAGAUUUUGAGGUCAAAUUCAGGGUUACGAAAACGUAAACUGAGGGGGGAAGGGAUAAAUUGGGUGAAUGGUGUUGGCACAUAAACACUACUAUAUAAAGGAGAGAUAGUUAACAGG